ACAGGCGUGAGCCACUACGCCCGGCCCCUCCUCCUCAUACUUCUUUAGACUGUUCAGAUAUGAAAUCACUUCAGAAACCUACCCAAAUAUUUGUUAUGUCCUGCAUGAUUGCCAUUUCACAAUCAAUGACAUUUUGAGGCCACAUUGACUAUAAAUAAUCGCAUCUGUCUUUGGAAAAGCCACAUUGUGUUUCACACUAAUUUUUUUUUUUUGUCCUUGCAAAGUUGGCUUUCUGGAUGGAGAGAAUGAUGUGUCUGGCAAUAGGGAUCUGUACGUUUCCUAUUUCAAGAGCACACGAAGUAUUGACAUCUGAAAUGAAAACACAAAAGGAAAAGCUUAAACUUGCCACGUAGAAAGUUCUUCAAGCUUGAAUAGUGUUUUCAUAACCAUAAGUUGAAACUGUGGGACAACCAGACAGAAGAGACAGCAUAGGAGUGUGUGCAGAAAAACAGGAUGCAUAUGACUCUCUGCAGCGGAAUCAAGCUGUGUGCAUUACUACAAAUGCCUCAUCUAGUUGAAUCUGAAGAUGUGGACCUGCUGAUGAAGAGGGCUGACUGUAUCUAACUUAGGGUCUUGCAUGCAGCUGGCACUUACUGCAUUUUAUUGACUGUUUUAGCUAACAUUCAACGGACAAUUCCUAGUUAAAAAAACUCUUAAAAGUAUGAAAAAAAGGAAACCUCCUCUAAAGUGGCAGGAAAACCAGCCUGGGCAACAUAGUGAGAUCUUGUCUCUAGAACAAAAGUUUUAAAAUUCUCUGCCUGUCUGUAGUCCCAGCCACUCUGGAAGCUGAGGCAGGAGGAUCCCUUAAGCCCAGGAGUUUGAGGUUACAGUGAGCUAGAUCACACCAUUGCUCUCCAGUCUGGGUGACAACAAGGCCCUGAGAAAGAAAAAAAAAAAGAAAGGAAAGGAAGGAAAGAGAGGUGAUGACAACUCCGUGAGGGUGGAGAUUAUACGUCUCUCAUCAUUUAAGCAACAAGGAAAUAAAUGAGUGGCAGAGUGAGGGGUGACUCGGUGAGUGCAUCCAAUUGUUGACAUAGUUUCGGGUGGGAGAAAGUUUGCUGUUAUGUCAACUUAACUUCUUAAAAUAGUCUAGUGGGAUCAACUUGGUUUCAUUUCACAGAGAUCUCCUGGAAGCGGGGAUCCUUUAAAAAUCCUGGAAUAUACAUUGCAGUAAAAGAACAAAGCAUAUCUCAGCCUUAAACGAC
Symphalangus syndactylus (siamang) is the source of this 1205-nucleotide long non-coding RNA. RefSeq lists it as uncharacterized. Lineage: Eukaryota; Metazoa; Chordata; Mammalia; Primates; Hylobatidae. The record is from RefSeq and is a predicted model, not a curated record.